UCCUCCUCCUCCUCCGUUCAGUAUUCAUCUCCUCCUCCUCCUCCUCUGUUCAGUAUUCUUCUUCUCCUCCUCCUCUGUUCAGUAUUCUUCUUCUCCUCCUCCUCUGUUCAGUAUUCUUCUUCUCCUCCUCCUCUGUUCAGUAUUCUUCUUCUCCUCCUCCUCUGUUCAGUAUUCAUCUCCUCCUCCUCCUCCUCUGUUCAGUAUUCAUCUCCUUCUCCUCCUCCUCUGUUCAGUAUUCAUCUCCUCCUCCUCUGUUCAGUAUUCAUCUCCUCCUCCUCCGUUCAGUAUUCAUCUCCUCCUCCUCCUCCGUUCAGUAUUCAUCUCCUCCUCCUCCUCCUCUGUUCAGUAUUCAUCUCCUCCUCCUCCUCCUCUGUUCAGUAUUCAUCUCCUCCUCCUCCUCCUCUGUUCAGUAUUCAUCUCCUCCUUCUCCUCCUCUGUUCAGUAUUCUUCUUCUUCUCCUCCUCUGUUCAGUAUUCUUCUUCUUCUCCUCCUCUGUUCAGUAUUCUUCUUCUUCUCCUCCUCUGUUCAGUAUUCUUCUUCUUCUCCUCCUCUGUUCAGUAUUCUUCUUCUUCUCCUCCUCUGUUCAGUAUUCUUCUUCUUCUCCUCCUCUGUUCAGUAUUCUUCUUCUUCUCCUCCUCUGUUCAGUAUUCUUCUUCUUCUCUUCCUCUGUUCAGUAUUCUUCUUCUCCUCUGUUCAGUAUUCUUCUUCUCCUCGGUUCAGUAUUCUUCUUCUUCUUCUUCUCCUCUGUUCAGUAUUCUUCUUCUUCUUCUCCUCCUCCUCUGUUCAGUAUUCUUCAUCCAGAGAGGUCAUCUUCACAUGGGGGACUGUGAAGGUUGGAGCCAGGGGUAGAGAAUGACAAAGACUGCAUACCAAAAAGGCACCCUAUUGCCUACAUAGUGCACUACUUUUGAACACAGCGCUAUGGGCAUUAUUAUACGGAAUAGAGUGACAUUAGGGACGUAGCCAGAGACUGGGCACUUAAAGGUAUAGAGAGGAAGUUCACAGGUCAGUGGUUAUUGAUCAGGGUACUGAUGCUCAGCUGAAAUAUCUCUGUCUAAAUUAGAGUUUAGAUGACGGACUAAAUUACACAACUAGAUUAUUUUAGCAGGUAGGGAAUAAAAUAUCCCAUAUCAUCAUCAUCAUCCAAGCCCCAGUUGGAACAAACUGUCAAUUGAAAGCCAACUCUUUCAGGUGAGCAACAGAACUAGGCAAGGGGGCCCACCUGCCUAUACCAUGAUGGAGAAACGAUGCAUUGAUUAAACCUGCAGUUUCCUUGAACGUCCUGUUCCACAACAAAUGGCACACACAUAAAGAACAAUGUGCAAAAGAUGGAAAAUGAAUAUUCACUCAUGUAGGGCUACCGCUACUGCUUCAAUUGACAUAAUAAUAGAUGGCAUGACAAUCCCCUGUUCAUGAUCUGGAUGCUGAACAUAAAAACACAAAAGGAGCAUGAGGACCACACAGAGACCGGACAAGCCCGUUCUGAAACAGCAGCUCUCUGUCGCUCUCUCUCUGCUUCAUUGUCCAUCUCUCAGCUGCAUCUCUCAGCUGCAUCUCUCAGCUGCUCACGAGUUGAAUUAGUCGCAUUAGAAAUGCAGAUAGUCACCGUCACAUGUGGAGCGUAUGAUAGGUCUUCAGUUUACGUCCCAAAUAGCACCGCAAACCCUUCAUAGUGCACUACUUUUGACCAGGGCGCAUAGGGAUCUUUGACCAGGGAGCAUAGGGAUCUUUGACCAGGGAGCAUAGGGAUCUUUGACCAGGGAGCAUAGGGAUCUUUGACCAGG
This is a long non-coding RNA of Oncorhynchus tshawytscha (Chinook salmon), 1784 nucleotides long. The record is from Ensembl. Lineage: Eukaryota; Metazoa; Chordata; Actinopteri; Salmoniformes; Salmonidae.